Molecule: ribosomal RNA, 253 nt
Filed under: uncultured bacterium
Lineage: Bacteria
Description: partial 16S ribosomal RNA
Rfam family: Bacterial small subunit ribosomal RNA
Source: RNAcentral
UACAGAGGUCCCGAGCGUUGUUCGGAUUCACUGGGCGUAAAGGGUGCGUAGGCGGUCGGGUAAGUCUGUUGUGAAAUCUCCGAGCUUAACUCGGAAACUGCAGUGGAUACUAUCCGGCUCGAGGAAUGGAGGGGAGACUGGAAUACUUGGUGUAGCAGUGAAAUGCGUAGAUAUCAUUUGGAACGCCAACGGCGAAAGCAGGCAGCUGGGGGUGCACCGACGCUGAGACACGAAAGCCAGGGGAGCGAACGGG